RNAcentral lists this ribosomal RNA (253 nucleotides) under uncultured bacterium. Its description in RNAcentral is "partial 16S ribosomal RNA". It matches the Rfam family "Bacterial small subunit ribosomal RNA", at positions 524 to 776 of the family's 1533-position model. The record is from RNAcentral.
UACGUAGGGCGCAAGCGUUGUCCGGAAUUAUUGGGCGUAAAGAGCUCGUAGGCGGCUUGUCACGUCGAUUGUGAAAGCCCGAGGCUUAACCUCGGGUCUGCAGUCGAUACGGGCUAGCUAGAGUGUGGUAGGGGAGAUCGGAAUUCCUGGUGUAGCGGUGAAAUGCGCAGAUAUCAAGAGGAACACCAGUGGCGAAGGCGAGUCCCUGGACAACACCUGACACUGAGGCACGAAAGCUAGGGGAGCAAACAGG